This 72-nucleotide transfer RNA is filed under the name Camelus ferus (Wild Bactrian camel). It matches the Rfam family "tRNA". From Rfam's summary of the family: Transfer RNA (tRNA) molecules are approximately 80 nucleotides in length. Their secondary structure includes four short double-helical elements and three loops (D, anti-codon, and T loops). Further hydrogen bonds mediate the characteristic L-shaped molecular structure. tRNAs have two regions of fundamental functional importance: the anti-codon, which is responsible for specific mRNA codon recognition, and the 3' end, to which the tRNAs corresponding amino acid is attached (by aminoacyl-tRNA synthetases). tRNAs cope with the degeneracy of the genetic code in two manners: having more than one tRNA (with a specific anti-codon) for a particular amino acid; and 'wobble' base-pairing, i.e. permitting non-standard base-pairing at the 3rd anti-codon position. The record is from Rfam by way of RNAcentral. Lineage: Eukaryota; Metazoa; Chordata; Mammalia; Artiodactyla; Camelidae.
GAGGGUAUAGCUCUGUGGUGGAGCACAUGCUUAGCAUGCACUGGGUCCUGGGAUCAAUCCCCAAUACCUCCA